RNAcentral lists this small RNA (62 nucleotides) under Xanthomonas oryzae pv. oryzicola. RNAcentral describes it as "sX9 sRNA". It matches the Rfam family "Xanthomonas sRNA sX9", at positions 16 to 76 of the family's 76-position model. The record is from RNAcentral. Lineage: Bacteria; Pseudomonadati; Pseudomonadota; Gammaproteobacteria; Lysobacterales; Lysobacteraceae.
ACUGCGGUUCCGGGCGCGCGGUCCGCGCCCACCUGACAGCUGCUCGCUCCGUGUUGUUAGCC